UGGGGAAUAUUGGACAACGGGGGGCAACCCCUGAUCCAGCCAUGCCGCGUGAGUGAUGAAGGCCUUCGGGUUGUAAAGCUCUUUUGGCGGGGACGAUGAUGACGGUACCCGCAGAAUAAGCCCCGGCUAACUUCGUGCCAGCAGCCGCGGUAAGACGAAGGGGGCUAGCGUUGUUCGGAAUUACUGGGCGUAAAGCAAGUGUAGGCGGUUGCCGUAGUCAGGUGUGAAAGCCUUGAGCUCAACUCAAGAAAUGCACUUGAUACUGGGGUGACUAGAGGACCGGGAGAGGAUAGUGGAAUUCCCAGUGUAGUGGUGAAAUACGUAGAGAUUGGGAAGAACACCAGUGGCGAAGGCGGCUAUCUGGACGGUUACUGACGCUAAGACUCGAAAGCGUGGGGAGCAAACAGGAUUAGAUACCCUGGUAGUCCACGCCGUAAACGAUGGGUGCUAGACGUUGGCGAGCUUGCUCGUCAGUGUCGCAGCUAACGCGUUAAGCACCCCGCCUGGGGAGUACGGCCGCAAGGUUGAAACUC
This 533-nucleotide ribosomal RNA is filed under the name uncultured bacterium. Its description in RNAcentral is "partial 16S ribosomal RNA". It matches the Rfam family "Bacterial small subunit ribosomal RNA", at positions 355 to 902 of the family's 1533-position model. The record is from RNAcentral.